GAGAGAUAUAGGAUUUCUUGUAUAAAAGGGGAAAGAGAUAGGGUCAUAAUUGGUGGCCAAAAAUGGAGAGAGAUAUCGAUGACCUGCCGAAAAACGCAGCCAACUACACUGCCUUGACGCCACUGUGGUUCCUCGAUAGAGCAGCCACGAUUCACCCAACCAGAACAUCGCUUCUGCAUGGAUCCGUACGCUACACUUGGUUCCAGACCAACAAGCGAUGCCGCCGAUUGGCUUCCGCUCUAUCCAAGCAUUCCGUCGGCAUCGGUAGCACGUCAAUCUUGAAAGCAAAAAAGUUUCUGAAGACUUGCUUGGAACAUUAAAGGACAGAUGGUUCACCAAACUUUUAUUUUCCUCUCUUUCUGGAUUUGAUUCAUCUGCUAAAUCUAAUUUGUGCUUAUUUUGGUUGCAUCAUGCCCUGUUAGCAACUUAUCUUUUUCUGAUUUCCAUUUUCAGGUAGCAAUAAUUGCACCAAAUAUCCCUGCUAUGUACGAAGCACACUUUGGAGUUCCAAUGGCUGGAGCUGUGGUUAAUUGUGUCAAUAUACGUCUGAAUGCACCAACAAUUGCUUUUCUUUUAGGCCAUUCAAAAUCUGAAGUUGUGAUGGUGGACCAAGAGCUCUUUUCACUGGCAGAGGAAGCUUUGAAAAUAUUGGCAGAAAGUGGAAGCUCUUUUAGGCCUUCACUAUUGAUUGUCAUAGCUGAUAAAAGCUGUGAUCCUAGGGCUCUGAAUCAUGCUUUGGGAAAAGGGGCCAUUGAAUAUGAGAAGUUCCUGGAAACUGGUGACCCUGACUUUGCUUGGAAACGACCAGAGGACGAGUGGCAGAGUAUCGCUUUAGGUUAUACUUCUGGCACAACGGCCAGCCCUAAAGGUGUGGUGCUGAGCCACCGAGGAGCCUAUCUAAUGUCCUUGAGUAAUCCUCUAAAUUGGGGGAUGAAUGAAGGGGCUGUGUACUUGUGGACUUUACCAAUGUUCCAUUGCAAUGGUUGGUGUUACACUUGGGCUCUUGCAGCUCUUUGUGGUACAAACAUAUGCCUUCGGCAGGUAUCAGCCAGGGCAGUCUAUUCAGCCAUAGCAAAUGAUGGUGUCAGUCACUUCUGUGCUGCACCUGUGGUGCUCAAUACCAUAGUGAAUGCUCCUAUGGAGGAGACUAUCCUACCACUACCACGUGUUGUACAUGUAAUGACCGCUGGUGCUGCCCCACCCCCUUCUAUACUCUUUGCAAUGUCAGAAAAAGGUUUCCGUGUAACACAUACUUAUGGCCUCUCAGAAACUUAUGGCCCUUCCACUGUGUGUUCAUGGAAGCCUGAGUGGGACUGCCAGCCUCCCGUAAUCCAAGCCCGUCUAAAUGCACGCCAGGGUGUCCGAUACAUUAGCUUGGAAGGCCUUGAUGUUGUUGACCCUAAAACUAUGAAGCCUGUCCCUGCAGAUGGAACCACCAUUGGAGAAAUAGUGAUGAGGGGCAAUGUUGUGAUGAAGGGCUACUUGAAGAAUCCAAAAGCCAAUGAAGAAGCUUUUGCAAAUGGGUGGUUUCAUUCUGGGGAUCUUGCUGUAAAGCAUCCAGACAAUUAUAUAGAGAUUAAGGACAGAUCAAAGGACAUUAUCAUCUCUGGGGGAGAAAACAUAAGUAGCCUGGAGGUAGAAAAUGUACUGUAUGCACACCCAGCAAUAUAUGAGGUAUCAGUGGUGGCUAGGCCAGAUCAGCAGUGGGGGGAGUCACCCUGUGCUUUUGUGACAUUGAAGCCUGAAGUUGACAAAUUGAAUGAAGGGCGUUUGGCUGAAGAUAUAAUAAAGUUUUCCCGGUCGAAGAUGCCUGCUUACUGGGUUCCAAAAUCUGUAAUAUUUGGACCAUUGCCAAAGACAGCUACUGGGAAGAUUCAGAAGCACUUGCUGAGGGUUAAGGCAAAAGAGAUGGGCCCUGUGAAGAAAAGCAAGCUAUAAUUUUUAUUCUGAAAGGUUAAGAAAUUUCCGGUUCCUUUUAAAUUGAAUGAGGCGUGUUCAUCCUUGCCACCAAGAUUUUGCAAAUCGACACCCUUGUAAUUUCUUCGCUGAAUGCAUGCCCUAUUGGAUGAUCAUUUCUUGAGAGGAAGGAUCUUUUAAGUGCAGGGUUCAUGGCGGUACAAAUACUAUUGUGUUCAUGUGUAAAGUAGUAGCUUGAAUUAAAGGUUGUCAACUUCAUUAUUUGUACGGAAGAUGAAUCCUUGGAUAUGUAAUGUAUUCAUUUAUGCAAUUAAUUUGGAAAAUUCGAUGGCGUGAC
This 2254-nucleotide unclassified non-coding RNA is filed under the name Hevea brasiliensis (rubber tree). The record is from RNAcentral. Lineage: Eukaryota; Viridiplantae; Streptophyta; Magnoliopsida; Malpighiales; Euphorbiaceae.